GAUGAACGCUAGCGGCAGGCUUAAUACAUGCAAGUCGAGGGGCAGCAGUCCCGCAGCAAUGCGGGAGCUGGCGACCGGCAAACGGGUGCGGAACACGUACAGAACCUUCCUUCGAGCGGGGAAUAGCCCAGAGAAAUUUGGAUUAAUACCCCAUAGCAUUACGAAGUGGCAUCACUUUGUAAUUAAAGAUUUAUCACUCGAAGAUGGCUGUGCGGCUGAUUAGGUAGUUGGCGGAGUAACGGCCCACCAAGCCUUCGAUCAGUAACUGGUGUGAGAGCACGACCAGUCACACGGGCACUGAGACACGGGCCCGACUCCUACGGGAGGCAGCAGUAAGGAAUAUUGGUCAAUGGACGAAAAGUCUGAACCAGCCAGCCGCGUGGAGGAU
RNAcentral lists this ribosomal RNA (388 nucleotides) under uncultured bacterium. Its description in RNAcentral is "bacterial SSU rRNA". It matches the Rfam family "Bacterial small subunit ribosomal RNA", at positions 28 to 409 of the family's 1533-position model. The record is from RNAcentral.